CCCCCCAAAAGUGCAUAGCUACCCGAAAGGGUAAUUAAUACACUAUAGGAGGCUCCGACACAAGUCGGGGUCUUUAAAGGCCUUGGCCGAUGAGGGAUUGGAAUAUGCUCUAUUAGCUUGUUGGCGGGAUAAAAGCCCACCAAGGCAAUGAUAGAUAGCUGGUCUAAGAGGAUGAACAGCCACAAUGGGAUUGAGAUACGGCCCAUAUUCCUACGGGAAGCAGCAGUAGGGAAUCUUCCACAAUGGGCGAAAGCCUGAUGGAGCGAUGCCAUGUGAACGAUGAAGGUCUUUUUGAUUGUAAAGUUCUUUUAUAGGAGAAAAUAAUGAUUGUAUCCUAUGAAUAAGUGACAGCAAACUAUGUGCCAGCAGCUGCGGUAAUACAUAGGUCGCGAGCGUUAUUCGGAUUUAUUGGGCGUAAAGCAAGCGCAGGCGGACGGACAAGUUUUGUGUUAAAAGCAGUUGCUCAACAAUUGUUUGCGCUGAAUACUGUCCGUCUAGAAUACGGUAGGAAGUUUUGGAAUUUAAUAUGGAGCGGUGGAAUGUGUAGAUAUAUUAAAGAACACCAGAGGCGAAGGCGAAAACUUAGGCCGUUAUUGACGCUUAGGCUUGAAAGUGUGGGGAGCAAAUGGGAUUAGAUACCCCAGUAGUCCACACCGUAAACGAUGGAUAUUAGAUGUUGGGACUUGCGUCUCAGCGUUGUAGCUUACGUGUUAAAUAUCCCGCCUGGGUAGUACAUAUGCAAAUAUGAAACUCAAAGGAAUUGACGGGGACCUGAACAAGUGGUGGAACAUGUUGCUUAAUUCGAUAAUACACGAAAAACCUUACCAAGGUUUGACAUCCCCAGCAAAGCUAUAGAAAUAUAGUGGAGGUUAUCUGGGUGACAGGUGGUGCAUGGCUGUCGUCAGCUCGUGUCAUGAGAUGUUUGGUUAAGUCCCGCAACGAGCGCAACCCCACUCUUUAGUUGUUUUUCUAAAGAGACUGAACAGUAAUGUAUAGGAAGGUUGGG
This 1006-nucleotide ribosomal RNA is filed under the name Candidatus Mycoplasma haematohominis. RNAcentral's name for it is "bacterial SSU rRNA". It matches the Rfam family "Bacterial small subunit ribosomal RNA", at positions 129 to 1178 of the family's 1533-position model. The record is from RNAcentral. Lineage: Bacteria; Bacillati; Mycoplasmatota; Mollicutes; Mycoplasmatales; Mycoplasmataceae.